Molecule: ribosomal RNA, 253 nt
Filed under: uncultured bacterium
Lineage: Bacteria
Description: partial 16S ribosomal RNA
Rfam family: Bacterial small subunit ribosomal RNA
Source: RNAcentral
UACGUAGAGUGCAAGCGUUAAUCGGAAUUACUGGGCGUAAAGCGUGCGCAGGCGGUUUUGUAAGUCUGACGUGAAAUCCCCGGGCUCAACCUGGGAAUUGCGUUGGAGACUGCAAGGCUAGAAUCUGGCAGAGGGGGGUAGAAUUCCACGUGUAGCAGUGAAAUGCGUAGAGAUGUGGAGGAACACCGAUGGCGAAGGCAGCCCCCUGGGUCAAGAUUGACGCUCAUGCACGAAAGCGUGGGGAGCAAACAGG